Molecule: long non-coding RNA, 368 nt
Filed under: Homo sapiens (human)
Lineage: Eukaryota; Metazoa; Chordata; Mammalia; Primates; Hominidae
Description: non-protein coding lnc-PTK2-6:1
Source: RNAcentral
UGGUAUCCGUAUUUGGAUGGGUUCUGUGGCCAGGGACCUGGGACCCCCAUCUGUGCCUCCGCUUCCUCGGCGUCCGUGUUUGGGCAGCUUCUGUGGCCAGGGACCUGGGACCCCCAAAGUGCGAGGGUUCCUUUUCCUCCCCGUCUUGUCACAUUUGACUUUUGGUGUGUCCUCACAGAUCUGGGGGGCUCCAGAGCCCCUGUCGAGGUCAGUUUGCCCCAGUUUGGGAGUCAGACCGGGGGGAGGGGGUAGAACGCAUCAGCUGGGGACCCAGCUCCAGCCAUCCCUGCACAGCUGUGACGCCUGGGCCAGACGCGUCUCUGUGAACGUGGGCUGGGUGAGGCUUUGACUUCGGCUCACCGUGGGCU